Mastomys coucha (southern multimammate mouse) is the source of this 642-nucleotide long non-coding RNA. RefSeq lists it as uncharacterized. The record is from RefSeq and is a predicted model, not a curated record. NCBI's taxonomy places the organism in Eukaryota, Metazoa, Chordata, Mammalia, Rodentia, Muridae. The transcript is spliced from 4 exons.
UCCCCCAUGAAGGGUUUGGGACACCUACCAGGCCACACAACCUGUGACAUACAAUUUUCUUGCCUACAAGAUGGGAGAAGAUGAAUCUGGAGCAGAAACUGAAGGAGUGGCCAGACAAUGAUGGAUCCAGCUUGAGAUCUAUGCCAUGAGAAAGAAUGUACCCCUGUCAUGAUUACCCCAAAUAUGAGAGGAAUACUGAAUAAUUAUUUGUGCAUUAAUGUUAAUAAAAUCACUCAUCAUAAACCCCAUCAGCUAAGAUAGACAGAUAUCUCCUGCUCAUUUGAAAGCCGUAGCUACAAGACCAGGCCUUGAAAUAAUUUAUCUUCAUUUUGUUGAAGUAUAACAACCUAUUUUCCCACAAUUGGUCACAGUGAAGUUAUCAGGAAAUUGUGAGAGCCAAAGUCCAGUGGAUACAUCUACGUCACCAUUCCUGCUUCUAUGGCUCAGGAAAUAUCACAGAAUAAGAGGCAAAAGGAGUGAAAAAGACAAAAUAAUAUGGAGUAUACUGUGAAACAGUCUCCUAGAAAUAGCAACAUAACCCAGACCAGAACAAUGACAAAAGCAAGAGACAUACUAAUAUAAAAGUUGGAAAACUGCAUGGUUUCUAUUCAUAAGCACUACAUAAAGAAUUACAAGCAAUUA